This 85-nucleotide transfer RNA is filed under the name Felis catus (domestic cat). It matches the Rfam family "tRNA". Rfam says of the family: Transfer RNA (tRNA) molecules are approximately 80 nucleotides in length. Lineage: Eukaryota; Metazoa; Chordata; Mammalia; Carnivora; Felidae. The record is from Rfam by way of RNAcentral.
GCCUGGGUGGCUCAAUCAGUUAAGCAUCUGACUUCGGCUCAGGUCACGAUCUCACGUUUUGUGGGUUCAAGCCCCGCAUUGGGCU